AACGAACGCUGGCGGCAUGCCUAACACAUGCAAGUCGAACGAGACCUUCGGGUCUAGUGGCGCACGGGUGCGUAACGCGUGGGAACCUGCCCUUAGGUUCGGAAUAACUCCCCGAAAGGGGUGCUAAUACCGGAUAAUGUCUUCGGACCAAAGAUUUAUCGCCUUUGGAUGGGCCCGCGUUGGAUUAGCUAGUUGGUAGGGUAAAAGCCUACCAAGGCGACGAUCCAUAGCUGGUCUGAGAGGAUGAUCAGCCACACUGGGACUGAGACACGGCCCAGACUCCUACGGGAAGCAGCAGUGGGGAAUAGUGGAAAAUGGGCGAAAGCCUGAUCCAGCAAUGCCGCGUGAGUGAUGAAGGCCGUAGGGUUGUAAAGCUCUUUUACCCGGGAUGAUAAUGACAGUACCGGGAGAAUAAGCUCCGGCUAACUCCGUG
RNAcentral lists this ribosomal RNA (433 nucleotides) under uncultured bacterium. Its description in RNAcentral is "partial 16S ribosomal RNA". It matches the Rfam family "Bacterial small subunit ribosomal RNA", at positions 29 to 507 of the family's 1533-position model. The record is from RNAcentral.